AACCGUAAAAUUGCAGUUGAUACUGGAUAUCUUGAGUGCAGUUGAGGCAGGCGGAAUUCGUGGUGUAGCGGUGAAAUGCUUAGAUAUCACGAAGAACUCCGAUUGCGAAGGCAGCCUGCUAAGCUGCAACUGACAUUGAGGCUCGAAAGUGUGGGUAUCAAACAGGAUUAGAUACCCUGGUAGUCCACACGGUAAACGAUGAAUACUCGCUGUUUGCGAUAUACUGCAAGCGGCCAAGCGAAAGCGUUAAGUAUUCCACCUGGGGAGUACGCCGGCAACGGUGAAACUCAAAGGAAUUGACGGGGGCCCGCACAAGCGGAGGAACAUGUGGUUUAAUUCGAUGAUACGCGAGGAACCUUACCCGGGCUUAAAUUGCAGAUGAAUUACGGUGAAAGCCGUAAGCCGCAAGGCAUCUGUGAAGGUGCUGCAUGGUUGUCGUCAGCUCGUGCCGUGAGGUGUCGGCUUAAGUGCCAUAACGAGCGCAACCCUUGUUGUCAGUUACUAACAGGUUUCGCUGAGGACUCUGACAAGACUGCCAUCGUAAGAUGUGAGGAAGGUGGGGAUGACGUCAAAUCAGCACGGCCCUUACGUCCGGGGCUACACACGUGUUACAAUGGGGGGUACAGAGGGCCGCUACCACGCGAGUGGAUGCCAAUCCCCAAAACCUCUCUCAGUUCGGACUGGAGUCUGCAACCCGACUCCACGAAGCUGGAUUCGCUAGUAAUCGCGCAUCAGCCACGGCGCGGUGAAUACGUUCCCGGGCCUUGUACACACCGCCCGUCAAGCCAUGGGAGCCGGGGGUACCUGAAGUGCGUAACCGCGAGGAGCGCCCUAGGGUAAAACUG
This 845-nucleotide ribosomal RNA is filed under the name uncultured organism. RNAcentral describes it as "SSU rRNA". It matches the Rfam family "Bacterial small subunit ribosomal RNA", at positions 611 to 1470 of the family's 1533-position model. The record is from RNAcentral.